UACGUGCAAAAAAAAAAAAAAAAAAAAAAAUUAAAAAAUUAAAAAUUGUUUUGUUUGAAUGUGUACAUAUGUGAUACUAUAUAUAUGUAUGUAUAUAUAUGUAUGUAUAUGUAUGUAUGUAUAUGUAUGUAUAUAUAUGUAUGUAUAUGUAUGUAUGUAUAUGUAUGUGUGUAUAUGUAUGUAUGUAUAUGUAUGUAUAUAUGGACAAUUGAAUUCGCUUUUUUUUUUUUUUUAUCAUAACAGUUUAUUUGUUUAUGUGUUAACUUACUAACUUACUAACUUAUUUGUAUUUUUUGUUUUUGCAGGAGUUGCAUACCACCCAGCAGAUGCAGUAUGGGAAAAAAUAUCAGGCGUUAAGUUCGGUCCCAUGAUAUUAACAGCUCAAAGCAGAACGACGAAUGUAAUUUUGUCUAAAAAGAGAUCAAUCGAAUUAGGAAACAUAUUACAUAAUCUUAUCUACGGUUAUAUAUACAAAGGAGAUAACGUCAGACUUACCAUUGGAAAAGAAUCUAAAAAUGUCAAAAGUGGUUCUCCCUUUUUUUUGCCAAGUUUUAUGGACUGCAGUAUACAUAACGACGAUGAUGCAGGAUCCGCUAAAAUCUUUUUAUGUUUUGUUUAUUUGAAUUAACAUACAUAUAUUUAUGUAUGUAAUAUGUCCUUUUUUUUUUUUUUAACAAUAC
RNAcentral lists this long non-coding RNA (680 nucleotides) under Piliocolobus tephrosceles (Ugandan red Colobus). Its description in RNAcentral is "lncRNA (ENSPTEG00000007509.1)". Lineage: Eukaryota; Metazoa; Chordata; Mammalia; Primates; Cercopithecidae. The record is from RNAcentral.